UUGGUUUUGAAAUUAAAAAUGGCCUCUACAUGUAAGCUGUUGUUUGGAGAUGAGCCCGCGUACCAUUAGCUUGUUGGUAGGGUAAUGGCCUACCAAGGCAACGAUGGUUAGCUGGUCUGAGAGGAUGAUCAGCCACACUGGAACUGACACACGGUCCAGACUCCUACGGGAGGCAGCAGUGAGGAAUUUUGCGCAAUGGGGGAAACCCUGACGCAGCAACGCCGCGUGAGUGAUGAAGGCCCUCGGGUCGUAAAGCUCUGUCAAGUGGGAAGAAAAUGUAAAAUGUUAAUAGCAUUAUACACUGACGGUACCACUGAAGGAAGCACCGGCUAACUCCGUGCCAGCAGCCGCGGUAAUACGGAGGGUGCAAGCGUUAUUCGGAAUUAUUGGGCGUAAAGGGCGCGUAGGCGGCCUUUUAAGUCAGAUGUGAAAGCCCGGGGCUUAACCCCGGAAGUGCAUUUGAAACUAAAGGGCUUGAGUAUGGGAGAGGGAAGUGGAAUUCCUGGUGUAGCGGUGAAAUGCGUAGAUAUCAGGAGGAACACCGGUGGCGAAGGCGACUUCCUGGACCAAUACUGACGCUAAGGCGCGAAGGCGUGGGUAGCAAACAGGAUUAGAUACCCUGGUAGUCCACGCAGUAAACGGUGAACACUAGGUGUAGCGGGUAUUGACCCCUGCUGUGCCGCAGCUAACGCAUUAAGUGUUCCGCCUGGGGAGUACGGUCGCAAGAUUAAAACUCAAAGGAAUUGACGGGGGGCCCGCACAAGCGGUGGAGCAUCUGGUUUAAUUCGACGCAACGCGAAGAACCUUACCUGGAUUUGACAUCCCGGGAAGUCUUUUGAAAGAAAGAUGUGCCCUUCGGGGAACCCGGUGACAGGUGCUGCAUGGCUGUCGUCAGCUCGUGUCGUGAGAUGUUGGGUUAAGUCCCGCAACGAGCGCAACCCCUAUCUUUAGUUACCAUCAUUUAGUUGGGGACUCUAAAGAUACUGCUCCGGUUAACGGGGAGGAAGGUGGGGAUGACGUCAAGUCCUCAUGGCCUUUAUGUCCAGGGCUACACACGUGCUACAAUGGGCUAUACAAAGGGUUGCGAACCCGCGAGGGUGAGCUAAUCCCAUAAAGUAGCUCCUAGUUCGGAUUGGAGUCUGCAACUCGACUCCAUGAAGCUGGAAUCGCUAGUAAUCGUGGAUCAGCAUGCCACGGUGAAUACGUUCCCGGGCCUUGUACACACCGCCCGUCACACCAUGAGAGUUGGUUGUACCAGAAGUUGUUGGACUAACCUGUAAGGGAAGUAGGCACCUAAGGUAUGGCUGAUGAUUGGGGUGAAGUCGCAACAAGGUA
This 1335-nucleotide ribosomal RNA is filed under the name metagenome. RNAcentral describes it as "bacterial SSU rRNA". It matches the Rfam family "Bacterial small subunit ribosomal RNA", at positions 189 to 1498 of the family's 1533-position model. The record is from RNAcentral.